Molecule: long non-coding RNA, 587 nt
Filed under: Rattus norvegicus (Norway rat)
Lineage: Eukaryota; Metazoa; Chordata; Mammalia; Rodentia; Muridae
Description: long non-coding RNA NONRATT019379
Source: RNAcentral
GGAUUUAUUUCCUUCGGAAUUUUUGGGUUGGACAAACAUCUAAUCAUCCUACCUUUCAAAAGAAGGCUUGAAUUCCUGUGGAACAAUAAAGAAACAGCAGAAGACAGAGAAUCCCCGGUUUCCGAGGAAAUAAAAAUGACCUGUCAACAGUUUGUACAUUAUCACCGUGACCUGUGCAUCCGAAACAUCGUCAGAGAAAGAAGUGUGCAUGCCCGUGGAGGUCAGAAGAGGGAGUCGAUCCCCUGGAGCUGGAAUUACAGGCAAUUCUGAGCUUCGUGGUGUAGAUGCCGAGAACUGAACUGGGUCCUCUGGAAGAGCAUUGAGCACUCCUAACCACUGAGCCAUCUUCCAGUCCCAGACCGUACUUUUAAAGUCUUGCGGUUUGUUGUAGGACGGACCUCACUUGUUUGUUCCCUGAUUCCUAUCAAAGCAAGUGGCUGUACUGGCUGUUGAAGGAAAGAGACUAUUUGUGGGCACUAUAAUCUGAAAAUGAAGCUUAAUUUUGUUUUAAUUUAAUAAACUAGGUUAAUAAAAGUAGGGUUUUUUAUUCCAUUCAAAUAAAUAGUCUCAUUAUGUAACCUGUCCUC